CGGGAAGUAGCUCAUUGGUAGAGCUCCCACUUCGUAAGCGGGAAGACCUGCGUUCGAUUCCCGGCUACUUAC
RNAcentral lists this transfer RNA (72 nucleotides) under Toxocara canis (dog roundworm). It matches the Rfam family "tRNA". From Rfam's summary of the family: Transfer RNA (tRNA) molecules are approximately 80 nucleotides in length. Their secondary structure includes four short double-helical elements and three loops (D, anti-codon, and T loops). Further hydrogen bonds mediate the characteristic L-shaped molecular structure. tRNAs have two regions of fundamental functional importance: the anti-codon, which is responsible for specific mRNA codon recognition, and the 3' end, to which the tRNAs corresponding amino acid is attached (by aminoacyl-tRNA synthetases). tRNAs cope with the degeneracy of the genetic code in two manners: having more than one tRNA (with a specific anti-codon) for a particular amino acid; and 'wobble' base-pairing, i.e. permitting non-standard base-pairing at the 3rd anti-codon position. Lineage: Eukaryota; Metazoa; Nematoda; Chromadorea; Rhabditida; Toxocaridae. The record is from Rfam by way of RNAcentral.